Molecule: ribosomal RNA, 588 nt
Filed under: uncultured bacterium
Lineage: Bacteria
Description: partial 16S ribosomal RNA
Rfam family: Bacterial small subunit ribosomal RNA
Source: RNAcentral
UGGGGAAUUUUGGACAAUGGGCGAAAGCCUGAUCCAGCAAUGCCGCGUGUGUGAAGAAGGCCUUCGGGUUGUAAAGCACUUUUGUCCGGAAAGAAAUCCUUGGCUCUAAUACAGUCGGGGGAUGACGGUACCGGAAGAAUAAGCACCGGCUAACUACGUGCCAGCAGCCGCGGUAAUACGUAGGGUGCAAGCGUUAAUCGGAAUUACUGGGCGUAAAGCGUGCGCAGGCGGUUUGCUAAGACCGAUGUGAAAUCCCCGGGCUCAACCUGGGAACUGCAUUGGUGACUGGCAGGCUAGAGUAUGGCAGAGGGGGGUAGAAUUCCACGUGUAGCAGUGAAAAUGCGUAGAGAUGUGGAGGAAUACCGAUGGCGAAGGCAGCCCCCUGGGCCAAUACUGACGCUCAUGCACGAAAGCGUGGGGAGCAAAACAGGAUUAGAUACCCUGGUAGUCCACGCCCUAAAACGAUGUCAACUAGUUGUUGGGGAUUCAUUUCCUUAGUAACGUAGCUAACGCGUGAAGUUGACCGCCUGGGGAGUACGGUCGCAAGAUUAAAACUUAAAUGAAUUGACGGGGUCAUAGCUGUUUCCU